This 1018-nucleotide long non-coding RNA is filed under the name Cervus hanglu yarkandensis (Yarkand deer). Its description in RNAcentral is "lncRNA (ENSCHYG00000001643.1)". Lineage: Eukaryota; Metazoa; Chordata; Mammalia; Artiodactyla; Cervidae. The record is from RNAcentral.
CUCUCACAAAGGAAAAAAACAAAACAAGGGAGCCACUCACAGAGAGCCAGACACGUGCUUACACACUUUCUCUCUCUCACACACACAUACACAGAGAGUCCUAUACACGAAAACAAAAAAGUACAGGGAACAUGGGCGUGCCACACAAAUACACAGGCACACACACUUAGAUAUGUACACACACUGUCUCAAACACACGCCUACACACGUACAUUCGCUACUAACAAAGAAACUCCAAAAAGCAGCGCAUGCACAUGCACACACACACACGGACUUACAGGAGGCCCGAUGACUGUACUUCAAGCUUCACCUCCCAACCCAAGCCCAAAAAUCUGUCUCCAAUUAUCUGGCCCGUGUUGGGAGCAACAGGAAAUCCAGAGCUGCCUCUGUCUUCUGGGGGAGAUGCCGGGAUUUCAGCCAUUUCUCCAUCUUUGGAAAACAAAAGCCUUCUGGGCAGUUGCUUGGCUCAAGGAUAAGGGUCUACAGUGAGGACCCUGGAAUCAGCAGUGACCCCAGGCACCAGCCUCCUGCAGUGACCAGCACAAGAGUGCAACAACCACCAGACUUCCAAUCAGAAGACCUGGGCUCGAGUCCCAGAUCUGCAGCGAGCCAGCUGCCAGUGACUUCACGCCUCAGAAUCUCACUUAGAAAAUGAGGGUAAGACAGCGGCAUGCCUUACGGGGUGGUUGCGAGCAACGUGAGCUGGUACAAGUGCUUGUGUGGCUGUUGGCUAUGAGACGGUGCCCCAACCUGUGUGAGUGGCAUCUCCUCCCCAAAUAGAAAGCUGUCCUUGUCUUCCCCAGAUACAUUUGGCCAUUCCCACAGAAGAGAAAAUACGUUUUCAAGAAACCAAAGAUUGAGACUUCCCUGGUGGUCCAGUGGCUAAGACUCUGUGUUCCCAAAGCAGGGGCCUGAGUUCUAUCCCUGGUGGGGGAAAUAGAUCCCACAUGCCACAACUAAGAGUUUGCAUGCCUCAACGAAAGAUCCCGAAUGCUGCAACAAAAAUCUAAGGUCCCAC